AUUGAACGCUGGCGGCAUGCCUUACACAUGCAAGUCGAACGGUAACAGGUCUUCGGAUGCUGACGAGUGGCGAACGGGUGAGUAAUACAUCGGAACGUGCCCGAUCGUGGGGGGAUAACGCAGCGAAAGCUGUGCUAAUACCGCAUACGAUCUACGGAUGAAAGCGGGGGAUCGCAAGACCUCGCGCGGACGGAGCGGCCGGUGGCAGAUUAGGUAGUUGGUGGGAUAAAAGCUUACCAAGCCGACGAUCUGUAGCUGGUCUGAGAGGACGACCAGCCACACUGGGACUGAGACACGGCCCAGACUCCUACGGGAGGCAGCAGUGGGGAAUUUUGGACAAUGGGGGCAACCCUGAUCCAGCCAUGCCGCGUGAGUGAAGAAGGCCUCGGUUGUAAGACUCUUUCGGCCGGGAGAAAUCGCAUGGUUAAUACCUGUGCGGAUGACGGUACCGGCCGAUAAGAAGACACCGGCUAACUAACGUCGCCAGCAGCCGCGGUAAC
Molecule: ribosomal RNA, 500 nt
Filed under: uncultured bacterium
Lineage: Bacteria
Description: bacterial SSU rRNA
Rfam family: Bacterial small subunit ribosomal RNA
Source: RNAcentral